UGGGGAAUAUUGGACAAUGGGGGAAACCCUGAUCCAGCGACGCCGCGUGUGUGAAGAAGGCCUGCGGGUUGUAAAGCACUUUUAGUGGGGAUGAAAAGCACCGGGCUAAUACCCAGGUGUCUUGACCUAACCUACAGAAAAAGCACCGGCUAACUCUGUGCCAGCAGCCGCGGUAAUACAGAGGGUGCGAGCGUUAAUCGGAAUUACUGGGCGUAAAGCGCACGUAGACGGUCUUGUAAGUCGGGUGUGAAAGCCCCGGGCUUAACCUGGGAACUGCAUUCGAGACUGCAUUACUGGAGUAUGGGGAGAGGGCAGUGGAAUUUCCGGUGUAGCGGUGAAAUGCGUAGAUAUCGGAAGGAACAUCAGUGGCGAAAGCGACUGCCUGGCCCAAUACUGACGUUCAUGUGCGAAAGCGUGGGGAGCAAACAGGAUUAGAUACCCUGGUAGUCCACGCCAUAAACGAUGACAACUAGAU
This 475-nucleotide ribosomal RNA is filed under the name uncultured Pseudomonadota bacterium. RNAcentral describes it as "bacterial SSU rRNA". It matches the Rfam family "Bacterial small subunit ribosomal RNA", at positions 355 to 821 of the family's 1533-position model. The record is from RNAcentral. Lineage: Bacteria; Pseudomonadati; Pseudomonadota.